This 496-nucleotide ribosomal RNA is filed under the name uncultured bacterium. RNAcentral describes it as "partial 16S ribosomal RNA". It matches the Rfam family "Bacterial small subunit ribosomal RNA", at positions 28 to 506 of the family's 1533-position model. The record is from RNAcentral.
GAUGAACGCUGGCGGCGUGCCUAAUACAUGCAAGUCGAGCGAACGGACGAUAAGCUUGCUUCUCUGAUGUUAGCGGCGGACGGGCGAGUAACACGUGGAUAACCUACCUAUAAGACUGGGAUAACUUCGGGAAACCGGAGCUAAUACCGGAUAAUAUUUUGAACCGCAUGGUUCAAAAGUUAAAGACGGUCUUGCUGUCACUUAUAGAUGGACCCGCGCUGCAUUAGCUAGUUGGUAAGGUAACGGCUUCCCAAGGCAACGAUGCAUAUCCGACCUGAGGGGGGAACCGCCCACACUGAACCUGAGACCCGGUCCAGACUCCUACGGGAGGAAGCAGGAGGAAAUCUUCCGCAAUGGGCGAAACCCUGACCAGGCAAAGCCGCGUGAGGGAUGAAGGUCUUCGGUUCGUAAAACCCUGUUAUUAGAGAAAAAAAUAUGUGUAAGUAACUCUGCAGAUCUUGACGGUACCUAAUAAGAAAGCCCCGGCUAACUACGU